Molecule: ribosomal RNA, 916 nt
Filed under: Curvularia lunata
Lineage: Eukaryota; Fungi; Ascomycota; Dothideomycetes; Pleosporales; Pleosporaceae
Description: partial large subunit ribosomal RNA
Rfam family: Eukaryotic large subunit ribosomal RNA
Source: RNAcentral
ACUAAGCAUAUCAAUAAGCGGAGGAAAAGAAACCAACAGGGAUUGCCCUAGUAACGGCGAGUGAAGCGGCAACAGCUCAAAUUUGAAAUCUGGCUCUUUCAGAGUCCGAGUUGUAAUUUGCAGAGGGCGCUUUGGCUUUGGCAGCGGUCCAAGUUCCUUGGAACAGGACGUCACAGAGGGUGAGAAUCCCGUACGUGGUCGCUAGCUAUUGCCGUGUAAAGCCCCUUCGACGAGUCGAGUUGUUUGGGAAUGCAGCUCUAAAUGGGAGGUAAAUUUCUUCUAAAGCUAAAUAUUGGCCAGAGACCGAUAGCGCACAAGUAGAGUGAUCGAAAGAUGAAAAGCACUUUGGAAAGAGAGUCAAACAGCACGUGAAAUUGUUGAAAGGGAAGCGCUUGCAGCCAGACUUGCUUGCAGUUGCUCAUCCGGGCUUUUGCCCGGUGCACUCUUCUGCAGGCAGGCCAGCAUCAGUUUGGGCGGUGGGAUAAAGGUCUCUGACACGUUCCUUCCUUCGGGUUGGCCAUAUAGGGGAGACGUCAUACCACCAGCCUGGACUGAGGUCCGCGCAUCUGCUAGGAUGCUGGCGUAAUGGCUGUAAGCGGCCCGUCUUGAAACACGGACCAAGGAGUCUAACAUCUAUGCGAGUGUUUGGGUGUCAAGCCCGAGCGCGUAAUGAAAGUGAACGGAGGUGGGAACCCGCAAGGGCGCACCAUCGACCGAUCCUGAAGUUUACGGAAGGAUUUGAGUAAGAGCAUGGCUGUUGGGACCCGAAAGAUGGUGAACUAUGCUUGAAUAGGGUGAAGCCAGAGGAAACUCUGGUGGAGGCUCGCAGCGGUUCUGACGUGCAAAUCGAUCGUCAAAUUUGGGCAUAGGGGCGAAAGACUAAUCGAACUAUCUAGUAGCUGGUUCCUGCCGAGUU